GAGAGAGUGCAUAUCAGAUCCAAAAAAGUGUUCGUCUUCCUCACUAACGACAUCCCCCAUUCUCUCCAUCUCUCGACCUCAACCUCUCGUCGUCUCUCAAUCUCUCGUCAUCUCCCACUCGCUUGCACCAACCUCACAAUACCCUACCCUCAUCCCAAAUGCACAAAUCCACGGCUUUAAAGCAAUCCAAACAAUAAAGCCUACCUUCGGUGGUGGUUCGGUAGUGACGGUGAGGCUUGGAUCUGCCUUCUUUACCUCAAAGCUUUCUCUUUGAAGUUCUUCUCCUUCGCCGUUUCAAUCUAGGUUUUUUCGCCGUUUUCGAAUUAGGGUUUUUCCUCCCCCUUCUCGCCUCCGCUUCCCUCCUUUUAUAUCAACAACUUAGGGUUUUUUUGAGCUGUCUCCCGGAAAUCCAAAAGGGCAUCUUCUGUAUUGAUUUAAGGCGCUCAGACUUUGGUCUGCCUCAUUUGGCGCUCGACAUGAAAACGUGAAAACUGGUGAAAAUUAAAACUUCGGUUAUUUGCAAAGCUUCGAUUAUGAGCACGGGUUGAGUGAAUUGCAGCAUGGUCUCAUUAUGCAGGUUUUUCAUGAGUUUAUGCAGCAGGUGAUAAUGUGAACUGCAAGACACCUGUAUCAUUUUCCAUGUAACUGGUGUGUUCAUAUGGUGUUGCAGAUAAGGGGUUAUGGCAAGGAAUGCAUGAGGUCUGCUAUUGUGCAAUCUAGGUAUGCUUAUUGCUGCAAAACUCUUCUGCAAUCCUAGUUUGGACUGAUGUAGGAGUUUUGAUAUGCAUGAUUCUAACUUGUCUCAUGUGCUAAUGGACGGUAUGGAUUGAUGACAAUGCCAUUCUGCAAAUGAGAUUCACAUUGUUUUGUACAGUCUUCAACAUGUAUGCAUGUCUGAUGUCGAGCUUGCAAGGUUUUAUUUCGGUUUGUGAUGGCUUUUGCUCAUUGCGGGUCUGGUUUGGGCAUUGUGAUGGACGUUGCAGAAUGUGCAAGUAGAUUCCUUCGUGGUUCAUGUUCUUGUGAGGGUUAACAGACAUUUGCUACUUGCUGAGAUGGUAGCUUGAAUGCAGGUACAUUCUAACUUUGGUUCAUCAUGGUUUUGGCUCAGCUUAAAGGAGCGAUGACACCGACAGAAGUAUGUGAAGGACUAGGUCUGUUUGAACUAAGGAAUAGAAAAUGGCACAUACAAAGAACUUGUGGUUUUAACGGAGAUGGCCUUUUUGAAGGCUUAGACUGGUUGGCUUCAACUCUGAAGGAGAAAAAAGGCUGUUGUGUUGAUUCAUGUAUUGAUUUCAAAAUUGGCUCAUGUAUGGAAAUUCAAGUGUACGGUUUUGUUAUUGGUUCAUGAUGUAAGAACUACUCGGAAAUGCAAGGCUAUGAAUGGACAUUGGUUUCGCUUGUGGAUUGGAAUGCUUGGAAAGAGGAAUUAGAAUCUAUGAUAAUGUUUUGAGCAUGUAAUCUAUGGUUGGAAUUGGUUUUUAACUUUUAAUUUUUGUGAUUUGGAUGGAAUCGUAUUAUAAAGUUAGUGAAUUGUAUUGAAUGGUUGAA
Long non-coding RNA from Lathyrus oleraceus (garden pea), 1548 nucleotides. RefSeq lists it as uncharacterized. The transcript is spliced from 5 exons. NCBI's taxonomy places the organism in Eukaryota, Viridiplantae, Streptophyta, Magnoliopsida, Fabales, Fabaceae. The record is from RefSeq and is a predicted model, not a curated record.